RNAcentral lists this ribosomal RNA (210 nucleotides) under uncultured bacterium. Its description in RNAcentral is "partial 16S ribosomal RNA". It matches the Rfam family "Bacterial small subunit ribosomal RNA", at positions 568 to 774 of the family's 1533-position model. The record is from RNAcentral.
CUCGUAGGCGGGCCAACUAAGUCGGAUGUGAAAUCCCCAGGCUUAACUUGGGAACUGCGUCCGAUACUGGAUGGCUUGAAUCCGGGAGAGGGAUGCGGAAUUCCAGGUGUAGCGGUGAAAUGCGUAGAUAUCUGGAGGAACACCGGUGGCGAAGGCGGCAUCCUGGACCGGUAUUGACGCUGAGUGUAGCGAAAGCCAGGGGAGCAAACG